AUGCAGUCCCAGUGCAGCCACCGUGCCUGGUGCCUGGUGCCCGGUGCCCGGUGCAGCACCAGUGCCAGAUGCCUGGUGCCCGGUGCAUCCCCGGUGCCGUGCCCGAUCCGCGGUCCCAACCCGCCGCCAGGGGGCGCCGCCACGCUCUUCCUCAGAGCCUCGCGGCGGUUGGCGCCGGCGACCCCUCGGCUCCUUCCGGAACGGCUCGGGCUCGGGGCGUGGUCCCGAUCGCGGCCGGCGAUCGGGGGAAGGGGCGGGGCCGCCGAGGCUUCGGGCAGGUUCGUCCCUCUCUGGCCUCUGUCGGGUCUUUCCGGGGCGGGUUCGGGCCGUUCCGGCGGGGUUCGGGCUCUUUCCCAGGCUGCCGCCGGGCUGGGAGGCAGGAGCGGGCUGGAGCCGAGCGGCGGCGGAUGGGGACGGCGGAGAGGUGGGCCGGGGCCGGGGGAGAGCGGGGCCGGGGAAGAGCGGGGCCGGGAUCGGAACCAGAGCCGGGGCCUGGCGGGCGGGCCGGCGCCGGCACCCGCGGUGAGCGCGGCCUCUCAGCGUGAGGCGCCGCGGGGCAGCGCCCCGCCGUGUCCCCCGGGCUGGGCCUCUGCCUGCUCCCCGGGGGCAGCACCGGGGCUGUCCCCGUCCCCUUCCCGGUGGUGCCAGCGCAGGGUGCCCCGCUGCCAGGGCCGUGCCGCCCGCCCCCCGCGCCGUGCCACCCCCGGGCUGGCCCAGUCCCCCCGCCCCGAGGGGCCAGGGCAUGUCCCCUGUGCCCGAGCUGCAUGCCCCACGCCGGGGUGCCAGGGCUGGGCUGUACGUUCCGUGUGCCGGGGCAGUGCCCCCCAGCAGUGCCAGCGCGGGGACCCCUGUGCCAUUCCCCCUGCAGCGGUACUGGUGCAGGGACCCCCACCUUGGCACGGUGCAGCCCCCGCCGCCGAGGAUCCAGACGCUCUGGGUGGCAGAGCUGGAGAAAAACGGCCCGUCAGGGCUGCACGGCUCCAGCCUGGGCUGGGGGCUUGGCCCCACCGCGGUUCUUCCCCAGCAACCCCCAGGCUGGGUCCGGACGGCCCAGGCAUGUGCCUGUCUGGCUGGGUGUGCUGGAGUCCAGCCUGGGGGUGGCUGUGGCUUUGCUGCCUCUGGACACGGUUGCCCUCAGACCCUGGCUCGGGGAUGGUGGCCAGCCCACCUCUUCCCAGUGAGGUUUGUGUGCUGUGUUUCUUUCAAUCCUGCGGGUGA
RNAcentral lists this long non-coding RNA (1218 nucleotides) under Falco tinnunculus (common kestrel). RNAcentral's name for it is "lncRNA (ENSFTIG00000008819.1)". Lineage: Eukaryota; Metazoa; Chordata; Aves; Falconiformes; Falconidae. The record is from RNAcentral.